CACGUCCGACAACUCCGAGGCGGCACGGCCUACGUUCCCCAGGGAAUACGGUCUGCCGUCCGUGGUCUUCGCGAUCACCAGGGCGACGCCGGAAACGACGCCGCCUCCCGGCCUUGGAAAGGAGCACAGACCAUGCAC
RNAcentral lists this non-coding RNA (138 nucleotides) under Oleiagrimonas soli. RNAcentral describes it as "Molybdenum/Tungsten riboswitch aptamer (Moco RNA motif)". It matches the Rfam family "Molybdenum/Tungsten riboswitch aptamer (Moco RNA motif)". Lineage: Bacteria; Pseudomonadati; Pseudomonadota; Gammaproteobacteria; Lysobacterales; Rhodanobacteraceae. The record is from Rfam by way of RNAcentral. RNAcentral also lists the same sequence under 1 other name.